GACGAACCGAGCGAACGUUGUUCGGAAUCACUGGGCUUAAAGGGCGCGUAGGCGGGUGCUCAAGUCCGGGGUGAAAUCCUCCAGCUCAACUGGAGAACUGCCUCGGAUACUGGGCGUCUCGAGUGUGGUAGGGGUGUGCGGAACUAUCGGUGGAGCGGUGAAAUGCGUUGAUAUCGAUAGGAACUCCGGUGGCGAAGGCGGCUUUCUGGCCUGUUCUUGACGCUGAGGCGCGAAAGCUAGGGGAGCAAACGGG
This 253-nucleotide ribosomal RNA is filed under the name uncultured bacterium. Its description in RNAcentral is "partial 16S ribosomal RNA". It matches the Rfam family "Bacterial small subunit ribosomal RNA", at positions 524 to 776 of the family's 1533-position model. The record is from RNAcentral.